CAAUAGCGUAUAUUAAAGUUGUUGCAGUUAAAAAGCUCGUAGUUGGACUUCUGGGUUGUGAUUGUGGUCCGCCUAACGGUGUGCACUGUGGUUGCGACUCUUCUUCCCGUAGUUUGGGGUGCACUUAGUUGUGUGCUUUGGUAAUAUGGGACCUUUACUUUGAAAAAUUAAGAGUGUUCAAAGACAGGCCUACGCUUGAAUACAUUAGCAUGGAAUAAUGGAAUAGGACUUUGGUUGCUAUUUUGUUUGGUUUAUUGGGACCGAAGUAAUGAUUAACAGGGACAGUUGGGGCCGGUUUAUAUUUCGUUGUCAGAGGUGAAAUUCUUGGAUUUACGAAAGAAUAAACUUACUGCGAAAGCAUUCGGCAAGGAUGUUUUCAUUGAUCAAGAACGAAAGUUAGGGGAUCGAAGACGAUUAGAUACCAU
RNAcentral lists this ribosomal RNA (425 nucleotides) under uncultured eukaryote. Its description in RNAcentral is "bacterial SSU rRNA". It matches the Rfam family "Eukaryotic small subunit ribosomal RNA", at positions 592 to 1018 of the family's 1831-position model. The record is from RNAcentral.